This 790-nucleotide long non-coding RNA is filed under the name Setaria italica (foxtail millet). RNAcentral's name for it is "long non-coding RNA (SITA_LNC001329)". Lineage: Eukaryota; Viridiplantae; Streptophyta; Magnoliopsida; Poales; Poaceae. The record is from RNAcentral.
CUUUUAUCCGGGAUGCCUCUGCUCCUCACGGGUCCAGUCCGCUUCUCCAACACCACCACCCUCUCAGUCCCACCUCUCCCUUCUCCUUCCACCACGCCGCCGCCUACGGUGGCGGGUACCCGUUCGCCGCCGGAGCCGAGGGGGCGGGCCAGCUGAGCCCGGCCCAGAUGCAGUACAUCCAGGCCCGCCUCCACCUGCAGCGCCAGGCGCAGUCCUCCGUCCUGGGCCCGCGGGCCCAGCCCAUGAAGGUCUCGUCGGCGUCUGCGGCGGCCCCGACCCCGCCGCGGCCGCAGAAGCUGUACCGCGGCGUGCGGCAGCGGCACUGGGGCAAGUGGGUGGCGGAGAUCCGCCUCCCGCGCAACCGCACCCGCCUCUGGCUCGGCACCUUCGACACCGCCGAGGAGGCAGCGCUCGCCUACGACCAGGCCGCCUACCGCCUCCGCGGCGACGCGGCGCGCCUCAACUUCCCCGACAACGCCGCCUCCCGCGGCCCGCUCCACGUCUCCGUCGACGCCAAGCUCCAGCAGCUCUGCCAGAACAUCGCCGCAUCCAAGAAGGGCGCCAAGAAGUCCGCCGCAGCCGCCACGUCAUCCUCCGCCCCCACCAGCAAUUGCUCAUCGCCGUCCUCCGACGACGCGACCUCGUCCUGCCUCGAGUCCGCCGCCGAGUCCUCGUGUCCGUCCCCGUCGCCGUCCGCCUCGCCCGAGUCGACGGUGCCGGAGAUGCAGCAGCUGGACUUCAGCGAGGCACCGUGGGACGAGGCCGCCGGCUUCGCCCUCACCAAGUACCC